Aricia agestis (brown argus) is the source of this 74-nucleotide long non-coding RNA. RefSeq lists it as uncharacterized. The transcript has 3 exons. The record is from RefSeq and is a predicted model, not a curated record. Lineage: Eukaryota; Metazoa; Arthropoda; Insecta; Lepidoptera; Lycaenidae.
CCGGAUGAGUUUAGUAGUAGUAGUAGUAGUUGAUACUAGUUUUUUAGCCACUGUGUAAAUUUUUUUCUCGCGGA